This 420-nucleotide ribosomal RNA is filed under the name Triticum aestivum (bread wheat). Its description in RNAcentral is "partial small subunit ribosomal RNA". Lineage: Eukaryota; Viridiplantae; Streptophyta; Magnoliopsida; Poales; Poaceae. The record is from RNAcentral.
AUGCAUAUGUCUUGGUCCAGUUCACGUGAGCUUUUCCGAUGGUCUUCUAGAUUUUCCGCGAUUGCUGCAUGGGCCAUGCAUGUCGCCACGUUUGCCAGUUUACUGAUGGACACGUUGCCUUCUAGGGUUUUCUGGUGGGCUUCAUCUUUGUUUUUUCUUUGCUUUUGGCUGCCUAUAAGUAAUUGGCCUGGUGUUGGUUCACCGUCUCUGCAAGAAAUCAUCCAACCCUCUAUCCCAACCCAGCACUAUGCCGCCGCCGCCCCCUAUCCUCUUUCUCUAUACGGGCGCGCAGCCUCAUCCUCCCCCAACCUGGUCGCCGGCAGCCCCUGCGUCAGGCCCUCUGUUCCCCCCAGCGAGGCCGAGAUGGUAGCACGGCGCGCAGCCCCAUCCUCCCCAGCCUGGUCGCCGGCCAGCCCCUAG